GUUAUAGGGUCAAGUGAAUAAGAGCACGUGGUGGAUGCCUUGGCAAUGAUAGGCGACGAAGGACGUGAUAGCCUGCGAUAAGCUUCGGGGAGCUGGCAAAUUAGCUUUGAUCCGGAGAUUUCCGAAUGGGGAAACCCACCUGCAAAGGUAUCGCAUGAUGAAUACAUAGUCAUGCGAGGCGAACCGGGUGAACUGAAACAUCUCAGUAGCUCGAGGAAAAGACAUCAACCGAGAUUCCGAAAGUAGUGGCGAGCGAAAUCGGAAGAGCCUGUUAGUGAUAGCACAAGACAUAACGGAACAGCUUGGAAAGGCUGGCCAUAGCGGGUGAUAGCCCCGUACGUGAAAUGACCUGUGUGGUACUGAGCUAACGACAAGUAGGGCGGGACACGAGAAAUCCUGUCUGAAUAUGGGGGGACCAUCCUCCAAGGCUAAAUACUCAUCAUUGACCGAUAGUGAACUAGUACCGUGAGGGAAAGGCGAAAAGAACCCCGGGAGGGGAGUGAAAUAGAUCCUGAAACCGCGUGCUUACAAAAAGUAGGAGCCUCGUAAGGGGUGACUGCGUACCUUUUGUAUAAUGGGUCAGCGACUUACAUUCAGUGGCAAGGUUAACCGAAUAGGGAAGCCGUAGAGAAAUCGAGUCCGAAUAGGGCGAUCAGUCGCUGGGUGUAGACCCGAAACCAAGUGAUCUAUCCAUGGCCAGGAUGAAGGUGCCGUAACAGGUACUGGAGGUCCGAACCGACUAGUGUUGCAAAACUAGCGGAUGAGCUGUGGAUAGGGGUGAAAGGCUAAACAAACUUGGAAAUAGCUGGUUCUCUCCGAAAACUAUUUAGGUAGUGCCUCAAGUAUUACCAUCGGGGGUAGAGCACUGUUUUGGCUAGGGGGUCAUGGCGACUUACCAAACCAAGGCAAACUCCGAAUACCGAUGAGUACAGCUUGGGAGACAGAGCACCGGGUGCUAACGUCCGGACUCAAGAGGGAAACAACCCAGACCGCCAGCUAAGGUCCCUAAAAUUGGCUAAGUGGGAAACGAAGUGGGAAGGCUAAAACAGUCAGGAUGUUGGCUUAGAAGCAGCCAUCAUUUAAAGAAAGCGUAAUAGCUCACUGAUCGAGUCGUCCUGCGCGGAAGAUGUAACGGGGCUAAGCCAGUUACCGAAGCUGCGGAUUUGCAAUUUAUUGCAAGUGGUAGGAGAGCGUUCUGUAAGCCUGUGAAGGUGCGUUGUAAAGCGUGCUGGAGGUAUCAGAAGUGCGAAUGCUGACAUGAGUAGCGUUAAAGGGGGUGAAAAGCCCCCUCGCCGUAAGCGCAAGGUUUUCUACGCAACGUUCAUCGGCGUAGAGUGAGUCGGCCCCUAAGGCGAGGCAGAGAUGCGUAGCUGAUGGGAAACAGGUCAAUAUUCCUGUACCGAUUGUUAGUGCGAUGUGGGGACGGAUCUUAAUAGGUCAUCCAGUUAUUGGAUUAUUCUGGUUUAGUUGGAUGUAGGCGUGCAUUAGGCAAAUCCGGUGCACAUAUACCGAGGCCAACGAUCGAGCGGACUUGUCCGUGAAGUGACUGAACGAGGUUCCAGGAAAAGCCACUAAGCUUCAGCUAACAACGACCGUACCGCAAACCGACACUGGUGCGCGAGAUGAGUAUUCUAAGGCGCUUGAGAGAACUCAGGAGAAGGAACUCGGCAAAUUGACACCGUAACUUCGGAAGAAGGUGUGCCCUAUUAGUGUGUAGUGAACAACGAAGCAUGAAUGGGUUGCAAAAAAUCGGUGGCUGCGACUGUUUAUUAAAAACACAGCACUCUGCAAACACGAAAGUGGACGUAUAGGGUGUGACGCCUGCCCGGUGCUGGAAGAUUAAAUGAUGGGGUGCAAGCUCUUGAUUGAAGUCCCAGUAAACGGCGGCCGUAACUAUAACGGUCCUAAGGUAGCGAAAUUCCUUGUCGGGUAAGUUCCGACCUGCACGAAUGGCGUAACGAUGGCCACACUGUCUCCUCCUGAGACUCAGCGAAGUUGAAAUGUUUGUGAUGAUGCAAUCUCCCCGCGGAAAGACGGAAAGACCCCAUGAACCUUUACUGUAGCUUUGUAUUGGACUUUGAACAGAUCUGUGUAGGAUAGGUGGGAGGCUUUGAAGCAGGGUCGCUAGAUCUUGUGGAGCCAACGUUGAAAUACCACCCUGGUGUGUUUGAGGUUCUAACCUAGGUCCAUUAUCUGGAUCGGGGACAGUGCAUGGUAGGCAGUUUGACUGGGGCGGUCUCCUCCCAAAGCGUAACGGAGGAGUUCGAAGGUACGCUAGUUACGGUCGGACAUCGUGACGAUAGUGCAAUGGCAUAAGCGUGCUUAACUGCGAGACUGACAAGUCGAGCAGAUGCGAAAGGACAUAGUGAUCCGGUGGUUCUGUAUGGAAGGGCCAUCGCUCAACGGAUAAAAGGUACUCUGGGGAUAACAGGCUGAUACCGCCCAAGAGUUCAUAUCGACGGCGGUGUUUGGCACCUCGAUGUCGGCUCAUCUCAUCCUGGGGCUGUAGCCGGUCCCAAGGGUAUGGCUGUUCGCCAUUUAAAGAGGUACGUGAGCUGGGUUUAAAACGUCGUGAGACAGUUUGGUCCCUAUCUUCCGUGGGCGCUGCAGAUUUGAGGAAGCCUGCUCCUAGUACGAGAGGACCGGAGUGGACACACCUCUGGUGUAUCGGUUGUCACGCCAGUGGCAUUGCCGAGUAGCUAAGUGUGGAAGAGAUAACCGCUGAAAGCAUCUAAGCGGGAAACUCGUUUCAAGAUGAGAUCUGCCGGGGCCUUGAGCCCCCUAAAGAGUCGUUCAAGACCAGGACGUUGAUAGGUCAGGUGUGGAAGCGCAGUAAUGCGUUAAGCUAACUGAUACUAAUUGCUCGUGCGGCUUGACCCUAUAACUUUG
Molecule: ribosomal RNA, 2889 nt
Filed under: Variovorax paradoxus
Lineage: Bacteria; Pseudomonadati; Pseudomonadota; Betaproteobacteria; Burkholderiales; Comamonadaceae
Description: 23S ribosomal RNA
Rfam family: Bacterial large subunit ribosomal RNA
Source: RNAcentral